GUGAGAGAGAUGGUUGGCAGGAUGAGGCGAGGUGUGCAGAUGAAGCAAAUGAUCUCUCGGGAAACAAAGCUCCCUUUUCACAUACAUAUACAUCUUAUGGGCCCAGCCAAGUACGAAGAAAGAAAGCAGAACUGAAAAGCAGAACGGUCUACAAAAGGCAGGCAUGGAAGCAUCCCUGUUUUAUUUGUCUACCACUUUCUCUUACAAAUAUUUUAAACAAUGAUAAUGGUGGAAGAAUAUGGAACAUGGCACACAACACUCCAACUUCAGUGGAGACCCUUUUUGUUAAGGCAGAGGAUGGGGGUGGUGUCAUGGACUAACUGGAACAGAGGUGUGAUGGGCGGCACCAGCUAGGGAAUCCCCAAGGGAAGAAGGCUCAGAGACAGGGGAUUGGUGGUGGAAGGAUGAUGAGCAGUUAGAGAAGAGGGAGCAGACUAGGAGAAGGUGACAGAAGCUGAAGAGGUAACAGGGUUUGGUGAGCAGGAAGAAGCUGUGGCAGAGAGCAGUCCAGACUCCAAGGCAGAAGUGGAGGCUGGCGAGGAGGGGGACCAAGAUACAGUGAUGAGUCUUCCCUCUUGCUGUUUCCAGCUCCCCUUCCCCUGGUCUCACAGAACUGGAAGUGGUAUGAAGAGGGCAGAGCAAAGGCAGGCAGGGUCUCAGAGUGCUUUGGAAGAAUCUGGGAUAGGAGGUGGGGCUACCUUUGAAGGUGACCUGGAAACUACAACUAGUCCAGAAUGCGGCAGCUAGAAUGGUGACUGGGAGCAGCCACCAAGACCAUUUAACACCGGUCUUGAAAGACCUACACUGGUUCCCAGUACAUUUCCAAGCACAAUUCAAAGUGUUGGUGCUGACCUUUAAAGCCCUAAACGGCCUCGGUCCAGUAUACCUGAAGAAGCAUCUCCACCUCCAUUGUUCUGCCUGGACACCGUGGUCCAGCGCUGAGGGCCUUCUGGCGGUUCCCUCGCAAGAAGCCAAGUUACAGGGAACCAGGCAGAGGGCCUUCUCGGUAGUGGCACCCGCCCUGUGGAAUGCCCUCCCACCAGAUGUCAAAGAGAAAAAUAACUACCAAACUUUCAGAAGACAUCUAAAGGCAGUCCUGUUUAGGGAAGUGUCAAGGCUGCCUCAGGUCUCAGCUCACAAAAGACCAACGCCAAUCUCUUCUUACAUACAAAAGUGUUUAUUGCAGUUCAUUGUUUGCUUCAUAUCCGAGGCGCGCAGCCUCACGUCUGUACGCUUAGACCGUUGAAGUCCCCUCUGAGUCAGUCCCUCCCCUGCACCAGUUUAAGAGCCUUGCGCUGCUCCACCUCUUUCUCUCUUUCCUUUUCCUCAGGGUCUUUCUGCCCGCUGGGGUUUCGCCCCCCUGGAUUCCCCUGACGCGCUAUCCCCCGACUGCUCUUCCCCUCCUGCGGGCUUUAGGACCUGGCCCUUCCUCCGGGCUCCCUGUACUUCCGCGCGCCUCUACAUUUGAACUUGCGCGCGCGCCCAACCUCUAACUUUCCUUUUGACAGUUACACUACUCCCUUCACUACUCCCUCCCCUUCCGGGAGGAUGGCUUGCUCCGACCUCCCUCCCUUCUCUGCUGCCGGAGCUGCUUCCCCUGAUACACUGGAACCUCCACCCCCUUCGCUGCACUCUGGUGGGGAGGCUGGUCCUGACGCCCAGCUGCCACUUUGGGAUCCCCCGCUGGCCCCCUGUUCCUGACACGUCCCCCCUGGCCUUGACCACUGGCGCCCCCUCUGGGAAUCCUCUGAUUCGCUGGAAAGACUCAUGGAAUCUCUUGAGUCAUUGUCAUCCUCUUCCUCGCUGUCCUGGGAUUCACCCCCAUCGCUCUCCAUCUCCUCCCUACCCUGUGCCUCUGUCCCUGAACCCCUGACAGGAAGCUUUUAAUGUUUAAUAGGUUAUUGUAUUUUAGUGUUUUGUUGGAAGCCACCCAAUUAUUAAUAUUAUUAUUAUUAUUAUUAGGGCAUUAUGGGAAGUUCAGCCCUCACAACUGCCUCAUUGGGGCAAGAUCUAUCGGGAAGAGUUGCUGUGAUCACCAGGCCUGGCCUCCUGAGGCAACCUUGUUUCUUUGAACAGAGUGAACUUCACUGAUGCUCUAUGAGUUAUUGCUGACCAGCUCUGGCCCUUCUCCAGAUAGGAAGCCUAAUUCCUUGGAGGGCUUUCCCCCCCCAGAAGUGUCUGUAUGGGAUAGUUCUCAGGGGGCAACAAGGGCAACAACAGGAAGAUGAGGUAGGUAGUGCCCCUCCUGGCCUAAGACCGGGGGUGGGGGGGGGGAAUUCAAUUCAGUUCAUGUUUUAAAGCCAAAUCUAUCAAACACACACUUUCCAAAGCAAUAUGAGAACUGAAACACAGCCAUCCUCUGAAGUUCACACUAUCCAGAUUUUGCUUGCAGUUUUCCAACCAAACAAUGUUUACAGAAAUGCAUGUAUCAGGGGAAAGUGUACAUAAACCACUUGGAGGCUUGUGUGUGUGUGUGUGUGUGUGUGUGUUGCAGUCAACCGGUGUAUAAAAACUUGAGAAAGUUAUGAAAUAAAAUUGAGUAUCUUACUGAAAAUAGCAUACAAGAAAUGCCUUAUAUUAGGAUGGGGCAAAUAUGCAUUAUUAUAGAAUAGCUGAGUUGGAAGGGGCCCUGAGGAUCAUCUAGUCCAACCCCCUGCAAUGCAGGAAUAAGCAGCUGUCCUUUACAGGGAUCAAACCUGCAACCUUGUCAUUAUCAGUACCAAGCUCCAACCAACUGAACUAUUCUAGUUUCUAGUCCAAACUGCAUACAGAAAUGUAUUUACUAAGAGAGAUUCGCACUAAAAUGCUGAUGAAUUUCCAUGGGGGGGGGUGGGGGGAGCCGAUUGCUGCAGAAAUGUGAAGAGCUGAAUUUAAUAUUAGAAAAAUAGGAGAACCAAAUUUGACAGGUACUUCCAUCGCUACCUAAAUCACACAGCGCAUACAGAAAAAUGCACAUGGUGAAGGAAAAGAAAAACGUUUUUUGUUGCGUUUUUUGUUAUUAAGCGACCUCGGUUUUAUUUACCAUUUCAGGCAGUUUUGUGCACAGCAAAGGCUUCUCCUUUUGGGGAGUUUACUUGGUAUUAUCCAGUCAGUGGAUAUUAUUUUGUGGACAGUCAGGUGUCCACCAGUGUUUGAUCAAGAAGUGGGGAGGAGAGAAAUCACUCCUGCGCUGCCAGGUUCCAUGAUGUACUGAGCUGUGGGGGUGUCUGCAUGGACGGGUCCCCUGGUCCCCAGCUAAUUACCUACUUGAGAGCACCAGAGCUGCACAAAUGAUAAAAUCGUUCCGAAGAAGCAAACGCUUGAGAUGGAAUAAACUGAAUAAAACUGUCAGCUGAAUAGAUUAUUGACCACUUCACCUUUGUGUCUGGAAACAAUCAGAGUGGAGGGAAAGGAGAAAAAUACUCCCUUUCCUUUGCCAGGUGAAUAAAUUGGAUUAAGCCCACACGGCUAAAAUUUAGAAUCUGUGUCUCUUGUGGGUAUAUUCACUGUAAUGCAGAUUUAAUAUUUAGACAGAGACAUAUAUAUUGUGCACAUGGAGGCCGG
This is a non-coding RNA of Podarcis lilfordi (Lilford's wall lizard), 3543 nucleotides long. NCBI's taxonomy places the organism in Eukaryota, Metazoa, Chordata, Lepidosauria, Squamata, Lacertidae. The record is from the annotation of a GenBank genome assembly.